UCGGGAUUCCCAUUCAAUCAUUUCUCACAGUUCAGUAAAAUAGAAACAACGAAAUGAGAGUAACGUUAUUUACGGUUUUAUACCUGCUGAGUGUUGUGUUAAUUUUGGUUAAUACGCUAGAAAAUUGCGUCAAUUUGAAGAAAAAUGUCAGUAGCUAAAAAAACGCCGAAUGUAUUACACAAAUGUUGAAAACAUUUUCAGCUGGAGGAAAUUCUCAAAUGUUGCACAAUUGACGAUUGGCUACCGGAGCGUAAUUUACAAAACUGUACAAACAAGCACAAAUUUCAGUUCUCUGAAAGUAGAAAGGGUUUGCAUGCGUAGAGUCGUGUUACUACCGUUCGCUAGGGAUAGUUGAUGAGUUUGCAGUUAAUUUAACCAGACUGCACGAGAUCAACCGUAAUCGAAAGCAGUACGAACAAGAAACCAUAGAUCAAGCUGCUUACACUUGUAACUAUGAGAAAUAUGAGGAAAUCAUAGACAGACUGAUGUAUCAUCGAACCGAGUGCAACAGCUAUCCGUCACUUUUUGGGGAUUGUAUUAUGAAUGAAAUUCAAAUGAACUGCCAUGAUAAGUUGUGGAGGAAUAGCACGGUUUGUGAUCGGUUCAGAGCAAGAAAGUUUUGUUAAAAUAAACACACUGCUUAAAAACGUUCAGAAAAAAAUAUAUUUGAAAUAAAACUAACAGAAAUCGUCACAAACGUAAAAAUAAUCUCGAGUUAAUUCGUGCU
Molecule: RNA transcript, 727 nt
Organism: Aedes aegypti (yellow fever mosquito)
Lineage: Eukaryota; Metazoa; Arthropoda; Insecta; Diptera; Culicidae
Exons: 3
Source: RefSeq, a predicted model, not a curated record